RNAcentral lists this long non-coding RNA (1274 nucleotides) under Cyanistes caeruleus (blue tit). RNAcentral's name for it is "lncRNA (ENSCCEG00000014185.1)". Lineage: Eukaryota; Metazoa; Chordata; Aves; Passeriformes; Paridae. The record is from RNAcentral.
CAACCACUGGCCUGGCAUCAUGCACUGGCUUGUGCACAUGGCUGUGCAGAGAACACAUCUCAGAUGUUACUGAAAAUGCAUUACACAUCUUUUUUUUUUUCCUUUCAUUUGCCUUAAUUUUAUUUUUUUUCCCUCAGAAAUAAUUUCCUUCUGAGUACGUGAAUUUACUGCAGCAAUAACUACUGUUUGCUUACAUGUUUGUACAAGAGAAGCACAAGGAGCCCCUAGUGUCUGACAAGGAUGCUGUGGCAAAACAAAUUAAAAAUAGAAAGCCAGAGCACAGAGAGAGGUUAUUACGCCAAGGAUGACAAUGACCCUCUGAGACAAGUCUGAGGUCUUCUGAGGUUUGACUCAAUACUUCAACAAAAAAAAAAUAAUUUCCAUGCAUGAUACCAAAAACUUGUAUUUGGCUGGUUCCUGAAAGUUGUUGGUGUUUUUAGAUUUGGGCAUAUAGAGAAAAGAAACAGUCCUUAACCACAAAGGACUACAGCAUGAUGUGUAAUCAGGAAAUGAGAAGGAUAGUUAAGAUCACAGGUAUUUUGUCCCAGUGUUGGAGCAGGACAGAUGGAUUGUCUCUGUAUCCCCAGAUGUUCUUAAAGAGAGAAGAAACUGACUACAUCUAAGAGUUUUUUUAUUGGAAAGUCAGUACCAGUAUGUUUUUUCACCUCAUAUAAACAAAGAAAAAGAAGGGUUUGUUCUGCUUCACUGGAGCAAAAAAAAUAGCACAAUAGAGUUCCAUUCAGGCACACAAAUAGCAACUGUCCUGUGACUUCUCUAUUUAAAUGGGUAUCCAUGGUGAGAUCUGCCUCGCUCUCAGUAGAUGGCUGCGGAGCGGUGCUGUGGUUCACACUGCAGGCAGGGAGGAAAAGGCAUCUGAAAAAUUCCCCUUGCAAUGGAUGAAUGAGGAAACGCAACAAGAUAUCAAGUGUCUGGUGCAUCACGCUGCAAAACACGAUGCCUGUGUUCUCCACUACUGCUCAACUGUCCCUUCACACUGCUUUUCAGGCCCAUUCCAAUUAAAUGUAUUCUGUACUUGCAGGCACAGCCCUGACCAACAGAUGGUGUCCAUCACAGACAAAAAAGAAAAGGAGGGAAAAGGCAAGAAGAGCCUGUCAGAAAAAUGGAAGGAGAAGCUGGAGCCAGUCCUGUUUUCUGCAGGUUUGCUAGUGAAACUGACUUUGACAGAAGGAGAUGGAAAACAAUUCAAAAGGACAAAGCCGCAAAUGAGGUAAUAGGAAAAUAAAAUGAUGAGAAGAGGAAAGAACCUCUGAAAG